This 264-nucleotide unclassified non-coding RNA is filed under the name Fusarium sublunatum. Its description in RNAcentral is "partial contains 5.8S ribosomal RNA, internal transcribed spacer 2, and large subunit ribosomal RNA". Lineage: Eukaryota; Fungi; Ascomycota; Sordariomycetes; Hypocreales; Nectriaceae. The record is from RNAcentral.
CGCACAUUGCGCCCGCCAGUAUUCUGGCGGGCAUGCCUGUUCGAGCGUCAUUUCAACCCUCAAGCCCCUCCGGGUUUGGUGUUGGAGAUCGGCGGCGGACCCCCCCGGGGGCCCGGCCGGCUCCCAAAUCUAGUGGCGGUCUCGCCGCGGACUCAUUGCGUAGUAGCUAACACCUCGCAACUGGAACGCGGCGCGGCCAAGCCGUUAAACCCCCAACUUCUGAAUGUUGACCUCGGAUCAGGUAGGAAUACCCGCUGAACUUAA